UGCCAGCAGCCGCGGUAAUAUGGACAGUGCGUGCGUUAAUCGGAAUCACUGGGCGUAAGGCGUACGUAGGUGGCAAAGUCAGUCAGGCGUGAAAGCCCUCGGCUCAACCGAGGAAUUGCGUUUGAUACUACUUUGCUAGAGUCUCGGAGAGGUUGGCGGGAUUCCAGGUGUAGGAGUGAAAUCCGUAGAUAUCUGGAGGAACACCAGUGGCGAAGGCGGCCAACUGGACGAGUACUGACACUGCGGUACCAAAGCGUGGGUAGCAAACAGGAUUAGAUA
Molecule: ribosomal RNA, 279 nt
Filed under: uncultured bacterium
Lineage: Bacteria
Description: partial 16S ribosomal RNA
Rfam family: Bacterial small subunit ribosomal RNA
Source: RNAcentral